RNAcentral lists this unclassified non-coding RNA (294 nucleotides) under Hevea brasiliensis (rubber tree). Lineage: Eukaryota; Viridiplantae; Streptophyta; Magnoliopsida; Malpighiales; Euphorbiaceae. The record is from RNAcentral.
GUUGAUGAGACAGUAUUUGACAUCGAGAAGGAGAUUGAUGAUCUAUUGCCUGUUGAAGUGAAAGAACAGCGUCUCAGCAACUUGCUUCAAGCCACAAUGGUUGGAGGAUGUGUUGCAGCCAUGCCUUUCCUCAAAAAGAUCCCAACUUCAGUCCUUUGGGGUUACUUUGCCUUCAUGGCCAUUGAAAGUUUGCCUGGUAACCAAUUCUGGGAAAGGAUAUUGCUGCUCUUCACUGCGCCAAGCAGAAGAUACAAGGUCCUUGAGGAGUACCAUGCCACUUUUGUUGAAACAGUG